Molecule: long non-coding RNA, 596 nt
Organism: Stylophora pistillata
Lineage: Eukaryota; Metazoa; Cnidaria; Anthozoa; Scleractinia; Pocilloporidae
Source: RefSeq, a predicted model, not a curated record
GUAUGACUGGGUAGGACUCACUGUGGCGGACUGGAAGACAUUUGUUAUUGUUGACGACAAAGAUUUACUUCAUGGAAAUGCCUUAUUUUAUAUAAUGACAUAAGAAAGAAACGGGCUUGAAGUAAUGUAAAACUACUAACAGUAAAUCAAAACAGGGCCUAAAAGAUCAGGGGAAGUAAAAGGGUUUUAUGGAUAAAGCGUCACUUAUUUGCUUUCACGAUGCCGAUUUUCUUCCGGAAAAUCAAAUGGCUUUAAUGGGUGGUGUGACCGAGAGUGACGAUUGAGACGUUACAUUGCGUGACAUGGAUAUCAGGAUUCCGCUGGCUAUAAUACAACGACGUGUUCAAAAUAAAUUAUGAUCUUCAACUGUCACUCGCUUUUCGCGCUUUUAUCGAGAGUAACGAAGCCCAGUUUGAAAGGCAGUGUAUCUAGCAGCAUGAUUGGAAAUAUUAGGAAUGGUAGUACAUGUAAUGGAGUCAAUGGAAGUACUGAUCAUUCAGUGAACAGAAACAUCACAGUGGCUAUAGAAGGAAACAUUGGUAGUGGAAAGACAAGUCUUUUGAAGUUUUUCAAGCAAAAUUCAUUGGUAGAGGUAG